Molecule: ribosomal RNA, 322 nt
Filed under: Sandona sp.
Lineage: Eukaryota; Cercozoa; Glissomonadida; Sandonidae
Description: SSU rRNA
Rfam family: Eukaryotic small subunit ribosomal RNA (bases 50-322)
Source: RNAcentral
GAUUUCUGGACAUCCGUUUCUGGCCGGCCACGGUUUCGUGUGUUAGUGCUUGAAGCUUUGUCCAUCCUUCCAAUCGCUCGCGGCUAUUCUUCAUUGAUGGGUCGCGGGUAUUGGAUCGUUUACUUUGAAAAAAUUAGAGUGUUUCAAGCAGGCUUGAUGCUAUGAAUACAUUAGCAUGGAAUAAUAAUUUAGGACUUCGGUUCUAUUUUGUUGGUUUCUAGGACUGAAGUAAUGAUUGAUAGGGAUAGUUGGGGGUGCUAGUAUUCAGCGGCCAGAGGUGAAAUUCUCGGAUUCGCUGAAGACUAACUUAUGCGAAAGCAUU